GAUGAACGCUGGCGGCGUGCCUAAUACAUGCAAGUCGAACGCUGGAAAUCUAGCUUGCUAGCUUGAAGGAGUGGCGAACGGGUGAGUAAUACAUAAGCAACCUACCCACGAAGACUGGGAUAAUCUCUGGAAACGGGGACUAAUACCGGAUAGGUAAUCGGAAGGCAUCUUCUGAUUAUUAAAGGUUAAAAACACUGGUGGAUGGGCUUAUGGCGCAUUAGUUAGUUGGUGAGGUAACGGCCCACCAAGACGAUGAUGCGUAGCCGGCCUGAGAGGGUGAACGGCCACAUUGGGACUGAGACACGGCCCAGACUCCUACGGGAGGCAGCAGUAGGGAAUUUUCGGCAAUGGGGGAAACCCUGACCGAGCAACGCCGCGUGAGUGAUGACGGCCUUCGGGUUGUAAAGCUCUGUUGUAAGGGAAGAACGGUAGAUAGAGAAUAUCUAAAUGACGGUACCUUACCGGAAAGCCACGGCUAACUACGUG
This 486-nucleotide ribosomal RNA is filed under the name uncultured bacterium. RNAcentral describes it as "partial 16S ribosomal RNA". It matches the Rfam family "Bacterial small subunit ribosomal RNA", at positions 28 to 507 of the family's 1533-position model. The record is from RNAcentral.